This 364-nucleotide unclassified non-coding RNA is filed under the name Hevea brasiliensis (rubber tree). The record is from RNAcentral. Lineage: Eukaryota; Viridiplantae; Streptophyta; Magnoliopsida; Malpighiales; Euphorbiaceae.
GAGACACCUGCAGGAUGAGAUAAUGAAUCGUGCGGGUCGAUCACUCCCAAGGCCAAGGGAUCAUCCCAUCUGUUAAUAGUUGUCUCAAUGCCCACUUUAGCCAUGUGCUCCUCCAACUCUGAGUAAUAUGUAUUGUAAGGUGCCACCUGCAGCUUAUGGUUAUCACCAACCAUGAGUGGUUUCUGGUUUACUCCCAGAAAGAACACACAUUCACGACAAUUAGCAAUACAGACCCGUUUUGCUGCUGUAAUCACAUGAACUCGCUCACAAUGUUCAAUCCUUGCAGCCUUGCCUACAGCUCCAAGAACUAUUGUAGUGUCAGAGCAUCCAUAGACGGUGGCAUAUCUCAAGGGUGCCAAGAUGU